RNAcentral lists this ribosomal RNA (228 nucleotides) under Triticum aestivum (bread wheat). Its description in RNAcentral is "partial small subunit ribosomal RNA". Lineage: Eukaryota; Viridiplantae; Streptophyta; Magnoliopsida; Poales; Poaceae. The record is from RNAcentral.
AUGGACCAUUCCAUCCCUUUUUCCCAUGCAUAUGCAUCGGACUCGGAUGACGAUGGUCCCGAUGAACAAGUUGAUGCGGAGGGGUUCACGGUGAAGGAGGCCGAAGCUUUCGAGAAGGUAUUUGGUCGGGAUCAUCGGACUACAUUGUUCAAGGAUGUUAGUCUCGCGGAUGAAGCCGUGGUAGAUGGUGGCCAAUGUGUACCUCUUGGGGUUAGGCCAAGCUCUCAC